This is a long non-coding RNA of Magnolia sinica, 573 nucleotides long. RefSeq lists it as uncharacterized. NCBI's taxonomy places the organism in Eukaryota, Viridiplantae, Streptophyta, Magnoliopsida, Magnoliales, Magnoliaceae. The record is from RefSeq and is a predicted model, not a curated record. The transcript has 2 exons.
CUUCCCUUCUUUUUUAACUCCUGCCAGAGGUUUGCUGAGCUAUACGCGUGUAAGGAAUUCCAUCCACCGGGCGGGUCCGACCUUGAAGUUGUCCCGUAAAUCAGGACCGUACGAUUAUCAGCUGGGCCAUUAGAAGCAGAUGGACGGAUUAGAAAACUCCAUCCAAAUGGCUCACCUGAUAAGAUAACAGGUCUGAAUUGUGGGAUGGAAGAUCCAUGUAAUGGGACCCGCUUGAUGGAUUGAUGGGAUCUCGUAGCCAUCUGCCAUGCUGGCACACGUAGCAUGGCCUGUACAUGAGCUGGCUUGUACACGCGUGUCAGCCCGCACGCUCCUGAUGUGCUACACACGAGUGAGCCGGUCAGGAAAACGUGUGUGAGAUUGGGGCCUUUCAUCAAGCUGGUCCACUGAAUGGCCUGGAUCUCAUACACAUCUGCUUAUAAUUUGCACGUGGCAUAUGGACUAUAAUCACAAUGGUCGGACAAUCCUAGCCGUUGGAAUGGUUUGAGUAUCUGAUUACUAUGAUUUUUACAUUUUUUUUUUUCUUGAUAAACGAGUAAACCAUUUUCUUUAAAA